This 322-nucleotide unclassified non-coding RNA is filed under the name fungal sp. RNAcentral describes it as "partial internal transcribed spacer region". The stretch from base 1 to 46 matches the Rfam family "Eukaryotic small subunit ribosomal RNA", at positions 1786 to 1831 of the family's 1831-position model. The record is from RNAcentral. Lineage: Eukaryota; Fungi.
AAGUCGUAACAAGGUUUCCGUAGGUGAACCUGCGGAAGGAUCAUUCACAAUGAGUGUUUAAUGGCACUUCAAAUCCAUUACCCACCUUGUGUGCAUUGUCGGGGAGAGGACUCUCUCAAUCUCUCUCUCUCUCUCUCUCUCCUCUCUCUCUCUCUCUCUCUCACUCAGAGGGAGGAGGAGGAGAGGAGGAGAGGAGGAGAAAGGGGGAGGAGAGGGAGGAGGGUUCCUCUCUUCUUUCUAUACACACUGUUCUCAGUAUCAGUCUACUUCAAUUGAGUACAAAACUCGAAUACAACUUUCAACAACGGAUCUCUUGGCUCUC